RNAcentral lists this long non-coding RNA (1934 nucleotides) under Homo sapiens (human). RNAcentral describes it as "HSALNT0354913". The record is from RNAcentral. Lineage: Eukaryota; Metazoa; Chordata; Mammalia; Primates; Hominidae.
UUAUAAUAACAUGUAACAUUUACUUUGUGCCACAAUGCCAAGCCUUUCUCAUUCGUAUCUCAAGGAAACUGUCACUUCCACUCUAAAAAGUCAACACUAUCAUUACCCCCACUUGACAGAUGAGAAAACUGAGGCUCCGUGAGAUGAAAUGACUUGAAGCCCAGAAUUGUCAGACCACACAGUUGGCUGAGCAUUUAACCCCUAGUAAUGAGGGCUCUACUGAAAUCCGGAUCUUUGUUUUACAUUGGAAUUGAUGUCUUGUCUGCCAUGCACACACCUAGUGUAACAUUUGGAAGGUACAGAAGCUAUAAAGUGAAAAAUCAGCCUCACAUCAUCCCCACCUCAGCUGCCUGUUCCCUCCCCCGGCAGCCACCGCGGACAAUUUGUCUCUCCUUCUCGAGUGGAGGCUUAUACCAGCCAAUGUGGCUAUGUCUCUUUUUGUAAAAACAGAUAUGGAGCAUAACAGGUACGCUGUUCUGCAGCUUGCUUUUUUCAUUUAAUAAUAUAUCUUGGGAGAGUUCUCCAUCUCGUUCCUUUGAAGACUACACGUCAUUCCAUUCAAUAGAAGGAGUACAUUGGCCCCUAUGGGAUUGUUCAUAUUCAACCAUUUUUGACCAGCAAAAAAAAAAAAAAAAAAGGCAAUUUCACAUGAUUCUGCCUAUAUACCAUAAUUGUUUACCGAAUCUCCUAUGAUGGGCGUUUGGUUAGGUGGUUUCACAUCUUCUGCCCUUAUAAACAGUGCCGUGAUGAGUAUCAUUUGCACACACCAGUGGGUAAUAUCUGUAGGAUAAAUUCCUAGAAUUGCCACUGCCUCUGUGACCCUGGAUAAGUCAAGUUCCUUACCUUAACCCCGAGUGUGAAAUGGAGCGGCCGCAUUAGAUGAUUUCUGAAGCCCCUGCCAGGCCCUAUUGUUCUGCAAAACUGCACUUCUCACAUUUGUAAUUCUAUAUCAUAGCUGGAGAUUACUCACCACAACCUUGUGAAUAUAACCACAGCUCAAGCUCAGGGUGCCCCAAAUCACUGUGGAAACAAAUGUUUUCCACCAAACGCUAACUCACUCCCUGCUGGCCAUAUUUGUCAACCAGAGAAUGAGACAUUUCCCGGUGAUCAAUACAAAUGAAAUAGAAAUCUAUCCUGGGCGGCGGCGGCAAGACUUGGUUUUUAAUAAGGGAACCUCCAGAGGAUAUUGCAUUCCUAUGACAACGGCCGACAGACCUUGAUUUUUAGUGUCAGAAGCUGUUGAAUGCAAAGGUCUGUGGCCGGGGCCUGGCCAGGCGGUGGGUGCGGGGGUUCGGGCUGGAACCAAGUUGGUCCUGAAAGGCUGUUGCAGAAGCCUGCCGGCCGCCCCAGCCCACUGCCCAUCCACAGCCUGCUGUGGGUCACCUGUUCACGAAGGCAGCCACAUUUGCCAGCUGGGCUAUGGUGGAACCGGCCAGGCCAGACAGCUAGCCAAAGAUGAUCCGUAGCCACAGAUCUGGUUAUUUACGGCUUGCCUGUGGUCCCCAGUGACCGGGCAGCUCUCGGAUGACAGCAGUUCAUCUUAAACAAGACCAGGUACUUGGGCAGAGGUGGCAGGGAGCACAAACGACCGUACUGAUAGUCUCUUUUCUGGCUGUAAAUUUAUCUGGUAACAGAGUGACUCGGAGACACCCCGCAUUACUUGCGGUUUGCGAAGUUUACAAACUGCCCGAGACAAACUAGGAUAUUCUGAAAACACAAUUCUCACCCAAACAGCCGAGACAGUUCUGGGUUCCAUCUCUUGAUUCUUCUGCCUCUUUUAAAAUUAUCUGCCGAUACAGACCAGGGCUGGGAAAGACGGCAGAAACAGGAAAACAGCUGGCAUGGAAAGGAGAUGGGAUCGGCAGUGAUUUAUUUCCAGCGAUGUGAUAUUUUAGGUUAUUGUUAUGUGUGUGCAAUAAAUCAUAUUUUAAAGC